GAUGAACGCUGGCGGCGUGCCUAAUACAUGCAAGUCGAGCGAACAGAUGAGGAGCUUGCUCCUCUGACGUUAGCGGCGGACGGGUGAGUAACACGUGGAUAACCUACCUAUAAGACUGGGAUAACUUCGGGAAACCGGAGCUAAUACCGGAUAAUAUAUUGAACCGCAUGGUUCAAUAGUGAAAGACGGUUUUGCUGUCACUUAUAGAUGGAUCCGCGCCGCAUUAGCUAGUUGGUAAGGUAACGGCUUACCAAGGCAACGAUGCGUAGCCGACCUGAGAGGGUGAUCGGCCACACUGGAACUGAGACACGGUCCAGACUCCUACGGGAGGCAGCAGUAGGGAAUCUUCCGCAAUGGGCGCAAGCCUGACGGAGCAACGCCGCGUGAGUGAUGAAGGUCUUCGGAUCGUAAAACUCUGUUAUUAGGGAAGAACAAAUGUGUAAGUAACUAUGCACGUCUUGACGGUACCUAAUCAGAAAGCCGCGGCUAACUACGUG
Molecule: ribosomal RNA, 497 nt
Filed under: uncultured bacterium
Lineage: Bacteria
Description: partial 16S ribosomal RNA
Rfam family: Bacterial small subunit ribosomal RNA
Source: RNAcentral